RNAcentral lists this ribosomal RNA (763 nucleotides) under uncultured Methanosarcinales archaeon. Its description in RNAcentral is "bacterial SSU rRNA". It matches the Rfam family "Archaeal small subunit ribosomal RNA", at positions 103 to 864 of the family's 1478-position model. Lineage: Archaea; Methanobacteriati; Methanobacteriota; Methanomicrobia; Methanosarcinales. The record is from RNAcentral.
GAUAACCUGCCCUUGGGUCCGGCAUAACCCCGGGAAACUGGGGAUAAUUCCGGAUAACGCACAUAUGCUGGAAUGCUUUUUGCGUAAAAUGGAUUCGUCUGCCCAAGGAUGGGCCUGCGGCCUAUCAGGUAGUAGUGGGUGUAAUGUACCUACUAGCCUACGACGGGUACGGGUUGUGAGAGCAAGAGCCCGGAGAUGGAUUCUGAGACAUGAAUCCAGGCCCUACGGGGCGCAGCAGGCGCGAAAACUUUACAAUGCGGGAAACCGUGAUAAGGGGACACCGAGUGCCAGCGUCAUACGCUGGCUGUCCAGGUGUGUAAAAUACACCUGUUAGCAAGGGCCGGGCAAGACCGGUGCCAGCCGCCGCGGUAACACCGGCGGCCCGAGUGGUGAUCGUGAUUAUUGGGUCUAAAGGGUCCGUAGCCGGUUUGGUCAGUCCUCCGGGAAAUCUGAUAGCUCAACUAUUAGGCUUUCGGAGGAUACUGCCAGACUUGGAACCGGGAGAGGUAAGAGGUACUACAGGGGUAGGAGUGAAAUCUUGUAAUCCCUGUGGGACCACCUGUGGCGAAGGCGUCUUACCAGAACGGGUUCGACGGUGAGGGACGAAAGCUGGGGGCACGAACCGGAUUAGAUACCCGGGUAGUCCCAGCCGUAAACGAUGCUCGCUAGGUGUCAGGCAUGGCGCGACCGUGUCUGGUGCCGCAGGGAAGCCGUGAAGCGAGCCACCUGGGAAGUACGGCCGCAAGGCUGAAACUUAAAGGAU